UAUUCGACGGCGGAAAGUGGAAAAGGAAAUGCGUGGCGGCGAUGGCGGAGCGUGCCUGAACCUGUCGGGGACCUUGCCCUUUUCCUUGUAGGGCUUGACGAGGACGCGCGCGUCGCAGACGAAAUGCGGGUUCCCCUUGGCGAGGAUGAGCCGCACCGUCUCCGCGUACACGAACGUGACGAAGCCGAACAUGCGCUUCUGCUGGUACGGGAUGCGCACGUCCUGCACCGGCCCGUAGUACCUGAAGUAGGAGGACACGUCCUCCUCGCUGAAGGUGGAGUCGGCCGGGAAUGUCAGGUAGAUCUGCCGCGCGGCGGGGCUGGAGGCGAGGUCGCCGCCGCGGUCCAUCCGAGGCGACCGCACGGAGAACUUGUGCAUGUCGUCGCCCCCACCGCCAAGAAGCAUGGCCGCCGCCGCCGCCGCCCUGGAAUAGCAAGCAAGAUUAGCACUGGAGAGAGAAAC
This 462-nucleotide ribosomal RNA is filed under the name Triticum aestivum (bread wheat). Its description in RNAcentral is "partial small subunit ribosomal RNA". Lineage: Eukaryota; Viridiplantae; Streptophyta; Magnoliopsida; Poales; Poaceae. The record is from RNAcentral.